Molecule: long non-coding RNA, 498 nt
Organism: Thalassophryne amazonica
Lineage: Eukaryota; Metazoa; Chordata; Actinopteri; Batrachoidiformes; Batrachoididae
Exons: 2
Source: RefSeq, a predicted model, not a curated record
AGAAGAAGAAGAACUUUCCUGUUGUCGUCCGAUGCUAAAGCUAGUUAGCCGGAAACUCUUCUCUGAAUAGGUCAAACUUCUCUGUGAUUCUCGAAUAUGUUUUUUGAAGAGCUCCAGAAACACAAAGGUCGACAGUAAACCAGAAGAAGAAAAGGCGAAGUUAUCGCGAAAAGGUGGAACAGCUGAGAAGGUUGUUGAAACAGCGGCUAACUGCUGCUAAUGCCGAGAUAUUUGAGUUGGUAGAAACAAACAGAUCGCAGAGCAGCAAGAAUAAAUGAGUGGAUUUAAAGCAGAGAAGAAGCUAGUCAACGUGCUGGAUGUUGUUUUCAAGCCUGAAAUUCACUGAUCCAGAGCAGACAUGCAACCGUUGAUGGGGAUUAAAGAAGAAAGUCUCCUUGAACACCAGGAAUGGAAUCUGAGUGUUGAACAGGAGAACAUUAAAGAAGAAGAGAAGCUGUGGAUAAGUCAGCAGGGAGAUCAGCUUCAGCAGCUGGAGGA